UGGGGAGGUGUUGUGCUAGAAGUCACGGA
This 29-nucleotide non-coding RNA is filed under the name Homo sapiens (human). The record is from RNAcentral. Lineage: Eukaryota; Metazoa; Chordata; Mammalia; Primates; Hominidae.